Molecule: small nucleolar RNA, 107 nt
Filed under: Oryza meridionalis
Lineage: Eukaryota; Viridiplantae; Streptophyta; Magnoliopsida; Poales; Poaceae
Description: Plant small nucleolar RNA R71
Rfam family: Plant small nucleolar RNA R71
About the family: R71 is a member of the C/D box family of snoRNAs containing the C (UGAUGA) and D (CUGA) box motifs. Multiple nearly identical copies of this snoRNA have been identified in Arabidopsis, and it is thought to function as a 2'-O-ribose methylation guide for 18S ribosomal RNA.
Source: Rfam by way of RNAcentral
AUCCCAUGAUGAGGACAGGCGGCCACAUACUCCUGAAGUCGUUCCCAUGCUUCAGGAAUGGACAAGUCCCUUAUCUGCUGGAAACUUGAAAUUCGUCCACGAAGGGC